UACGUAGGGUGCAAGCGUUAAUCGGAAUUACUGGGCGUAAAGCGUGCGCAGGCGGCUUUGCAAGACAGAUGUGAAAUCCCCGGGCUCAACCUGGGAACUGCAUUUGUGACUGCAAGGCUAGAGUACGGCAGAGGGGGAUGGAAUUCCGCGUGUAGCAGUGAAAUGCGUAGAUAUGCGGAGGGACACCGAUGGCGAAGGCAAUCCCCUGGGCCUGUACUGACGCUCAUGCACGAAAGCGUGGGGAGCAAACAGG
Molecule: ribosomal RNA, 253 nt
Filed under: uncultured bacterium
Lineage: Bacteria
Description: partial 16S ribosomal RNA
Rfam family: Bacterial small subunit ribosomal RNA
Source: RNAcentral